Molecule: RNA transcript, 2993 nt
Organism: Balaenoptera ricei (Rice's whale)
Lineage: Eukaryota; Metazoa; Chordata; Mammalia; Artiodactyla; Balaenopteridae
Gene: CENPP
Gene name: centromere protein P
Exons: 10
Source: RefSeq, a predicted model, not a curated record
CAAGUCGGGGUGGGUAGGUAUGUCCUCGGGCUUUGGGUUCGAGGGAGUCAACUCUCUUGAAGCGUAGGGACUGCUGGGGGACAGCUGUGGAAACGUAAGCAGGGAUGGCAACGAGGCUGGGAUGCUUGCGAGCGCGGGUUAUAAGCGCGGGAAUCGCGCGUCAUUCCCCUGCCUCCCCCGCCGAGUUCCGGGAUGGUCGACGCCAGCAGCGCGCGAGGCUUGAAGAACAGGACGUGGCGCGCCUCUGUCAGGCAGCUUCCCGUUAGCGCGGCCCUAUGGAUUCUCAGCGGGCUGAGGCCCGCGCUUUGGAAGCCGAGAUCACCGCUUUGAGGCGGGCGUGCGUGGAGCCGCCGGCGCCCGGGGAAGACACCUCCCGAGUUCGAAAAUCAUUUCGAGAAAUAUACCAAGCAGAUUCUGAAGGAUGGGAAUUGUCAAAAGAUCUGAGAAGUCAUCUUGGACAUUUAGAAUCAGAACUUCAGUUUCUAAGUACGCUUACUGGCAUCAGUAUAAGACAUUACUCCAAGAAGACAGAGGACCUAACGAGCACUGAGAUGACAGAAAAGAGUAUAAAGAAAGUUCUGCAGAGACACAGAUUAUCAGGAGAUUGCCACAUGAUUACGUUUCAACUUGAAUUUCAGCUUCUGGAAAUCCAGAAUGAGGAGAGUUUAUCUUCUGUUAUUACUGACCUCAGCAUAAUAAUGGAACCCACCGAAUAUUCAGAAUUAAGUGAAUUUGUGUCUAGAGCAGAAGAAAGAAGAGAUUUGUUUAUGUUUUUCCGAAGCCUACACUUCUUUGUGGAAUGGUGUGAAUAUCGUAAGCGCACAUUUAAACGUUUCAAGGGACUCUUCCUCACUACUCCACUGCCCCCCGCCCCCAGUAUCAACUUGGCUCAUUUCAUGACUGUCAUCCACAGCUGGACACUAGCUGCCCUUCCCUCCCAGAAUCCUCAUUAUGAAAAGUACCCAGAGGCUGUGCACCUUUCAGAGGGGGCCUCCUCCAGCUGCAUGGGCAUCAGGAGCCCCAGCCGACCAGGGUUUGAACUAGUAAUUGUUUGGAGGAUACAAAUAGAUGAAGAAGGGAAGGUUUUGCCAAAGCUGGAUCUUCUCACCAAAGUGCCACUGCAAGCCCUGGAACUGGACAAGAACGGAGUCAUGGAAACUGCUCCUCUCAGCUUCCGAGCCCUACUGGGCGUGCUGGGCACUGAAGCCACUCUGGAAAGUCUGAUUAAAUCACUUCACACAGAGGCAAGCAACUAGUUCCCGAACACGGAACAACUACACGUAGAAGUAAGAUGCUGCACCUGGAGUUAUGCCCUAUAAAUGUCCCUCCGUGUUUCCUAUCAGAAAGUGGACAAUUCUGUGCCUUCCAAGAAGCAGGACUCCUGGGAAUGUUUAGUUCAAAAGCAUCAGAAAAACAGGUGGCUGGCAGCCAGUGACGAGAUCAUCUUGACCCAGGAACACACAUCAGAAGAUUGUGAAACAUUCUGCAAAACUGUGUGUGGGGUUUGGCACCCUGAAGAUCAAUGCUGAAGAUGCCAUCUAAUCACUGAGAGAAGAUUAUCAGGUUCAUCCUAAAUUCCUAAAAAAGGCAGAGAAGGGACUGAAUAAUGAUGUCCAGGAAAAGAUGCUGCAAAGAGGAAGCAGAACAAUGGAAUGUUGUUUUAAAGGCUUCGAAAUGACUAUAAAGGUUGGCACAUCAGGACCUGGUAAAAGGAGGAAAAAUAAGGCCCACAGGACCCUACAGCUUCUUGGGCCUCUGAGCCAUGAUGGUAGCUUGGGGUUUUCUUUGAGAGAAAGGAAUUUGGACCACAGUAUCCAAGCCCUUGAGAUAUUUUCUUAGAAAAUAAUAGUAAACUUGAGUGAACAAGCUUUUAAAAUUAUUCUCAAUAAUGUCUUUUUGACUGUAUUACAAACUUCUAAAGAGCAAGAGUUAAUAAUCCCCAUGAUAUCAAGUAGGCCUUGGAAAUCGGCCUCUGUUUAAUAAACAUGAUCCUGCCAGAGCCUCUCUAAAUAUAGGGACACCAACUCUCUUGCCAAUCCACAAAACCCUGCUAGACCAAGGACACACGACAUAGUAGCAGGUGCCUCACCUUGCAUCCUGCAGACAAGGAGAGAGUGCGAUCAUGAUGGAGCAGUCUUUCGCAGUCAUGGCGACCCGGUACUGCUGAACCUGCAGGGGAAGGAAAGGUCAGCUCCACAGCAUCGCCACACACACCCUUCCCCACUGGAGAGGUCCAAGAACUGGUCCCAGACCUGGGGGUGGGUUAGGAAGACCCAGUCCCAAAGAGCUCAUUAGAGGCCAGUGCUGCCCUCUGACCUCUCACUGCAGGCAGUGUAUGGACCCUGAUUCCAAAACCUGGGACCUAGGACUUGUCUUUGGCAAGACAAUCACAGCCCACCUUGGAAGAAAAAGCAGUAAGUGGCCUCAGCUAUUGAUGUGCUAGCCACACUGACAGCACUGAGCGUAUCACUCUAUACCUCAAGAUAGCGGCACACAGACACACACCAAGGCCCUGUCCCCAGGUCACAUAGCACACUAGAAUGUCAUGCAGCUUCCAUGAAUGACACUGCAAACAGAGGGAUCACCAACUGUGUGUUAACUCACUUCAUCCCCACAGCGACCCCACAGGCAGGCACUGCUAGUGUCCCAGUUUAUGGAUAAGGAAACAGACAUAGAUCGACCUGUCCACUCUGCACUGCUAGGCUAGACUCAAACCCAGGUGUUUUGACUCUGAAGUUCAUGCUCUUAACACUGGGCUACGAGCACAUAUAGAUCUAUGUGUAACGCCUGGAGCAACGUCCACUAGGGCUGCUGACUCAAACAACACAGAAAUGGUUUGUAGGAUCCAACACAUAAAGCCAUGUGUGCGCUCACAUGCGUAUCACAGACAUACACGGAAAGAGCCAAAAGACAGUCACCUCUGUGUACAAUUUGGGGGCAUCUUUCCCCUUUCUUCUUUGAACUUUCAUAUAACAUUUGAAUUUUUUAGAUUG